UGAAACUGUUUCAAUAGGAUGGCAGUGGGACCCAGGAAGUUUGCAAGGGCUGUGUCAUCACACACACACAAUGACUUUAUCAAGAGCCCAUCCUGCUUCCCCACUCCUGGGAGACAUCCUCUCCAGCCCCAACUCUGUGCCAUGACUAUCGGGCUCCUCUGCCACAUGGCCUUUUAUUUUCUGGGGGCAGGCCUUACGGAAGCUGAUAUCUACCAGAACCCAAGACACCGUGUUAUAGGGACAGGAAAGAAGAUCACUCUGGAAUGUUCUCAAACCAUGGGCCAUGACAAAAUGUACUGGUAUCAACAAGAUCCAGGAAUGGAAUUACACCUCAUCCACUAUUCCUAUGGGGUUAAUUCCACAGAGAGGGGAGAUUUUUCCUCUGAGUCAACAGUCUCCAGACUAAGGAUAGAGCAUUUUCCCCUGACCCUGGAGUCUGCCAGCCCCUCACACACCUCUCAGUACCUCUGUGCCAGCAGUGAAUACACAGUGCUACAUGGAUACCGACACUCUGCACAGAAAGGGUCGCCUCUAAGGCGAGCCUUCAGAAACCUUCAGAAACCUCAUCUUAAACUACAGAAACCCCUGCAAAUCGUCCCAGACUCCUCAGCCUUGAGGGACCAGUGUGCUUUAAGUAACAAUCUGGACUGAAGACUAUCUCUGGCUCAGUCUCUGACAAGCUGAGAAAUGACCCAGCCCUGCAGUCAUCCUGGCUGACUUCUUCCUUGCAUCUAGUUGUUGCUGUUCAAUUGAGCUUGCACAAAUUUUAUCCUUCAAGUUAAAUGCGAUGAUAUUUGACAGUUGCCUUAUGGCUAGCUGAAGAAAAUCUUUGUCAGCUAAGAAACAGGAAAAGGAUCCUCUGACUUUCUGCACAGGCUGUCUUUAUCUCUGGUUCAUGGUUCCUUCUUCAUGUUAAACUUGUUCCUUCAUACACAGCCACACAAAGUCCCUGCCCUUCCCUGACCCCAGUCCUGCACCUGAUGACUUUAGUUCCUCAAUCUAUGACUUUGAACUUGGAAUACAUUUUUAUUUUCAUUUGAAAUAAGUGAUUAAUGAUUAUU
Molecule: non-coding RNA, 1061 nt
Organism: Macaca mulatta (Rhesus monkey)
Lineage: Eukaryota; Metazoa; Chordata; Mammalia; Primates; Cercopithecidae
Source: the annotation of a RefSeq genome assembly